This 910-nucleotide long non-coding RNA is filed under the name Citrus sinensis (sweet orange). RNAcentral describes it as "long non-coding RNA (CSIN_LNC001229)". Lineage: Eukaryota; Viridiplantae; Streptophyta; Magnoliopsida; Sapindales; Rutaceae. The record is from RNAcentral.
GAUCAGCCGUCCAUCUGAGCCUUGGCUUCGGGUCCCUUGUCAUCAUUACUCCGUUCUCGUAAGGAUAACUCACAUAAGCACUUCUUUCCAUUUCUUUCUUCUUCGAAUGAACAACAACAAACAAUAAUAAGAUCAAAGCUAUUUUCAACUGUUUUAAGCUCUAUAUUAAUUGAUUGGAAAUACUUUAAAAAGUGAGAAUUUUUUUUUUUAAAGAUAUUUAAUUAUGAUGGAGAACAUGUAGAGGGAAGCCCGGCGACGAAUCUCAAGCAACAUGAUUGUGACAUUUUUUUUUUAUUUAUUUCAUUGUAUUAUACAACAAAUUUAAAUAAGAAUAAAAUGGAAAACUAUAAUCCCCGCCUCUUUCUUCUACGUUUACUUUUCUUGCUAACCGUCAGAUCUUUCUUAAAAGUCAAAAAGGUAUGGCGAUCUGACGGUGGGAUGGCCGCGUAAGCCAGCGUGGAAUAUUCUCCGGGAGGCAAAGCGAAUACAAAAUUUGAGCGGUCACGUGGAGGGCCCAUAAGAGGGUCAUUUGAAGGACUAGUGGGACCGGUAUAGGAGACACGUGUCGAGAUAUGCGGCUAGGACGGUGGGGUCGGAGGUGGCUGAAGAAUAAUCGAUCGUGGGCCAAAUUGGAAGGAUGUGAAGGCUUGGUCCCGUGAGAGAAAGAAAGAAAGCUGGUCCAAUGAAUCUGUCCCUUCUUUGCUUGUCUUCACGCUAUUCUUAGAUUGCAUUAAACCUUAAUGCAGUGGAUUCAAUCGACCAGUUCCACUUUAGAUUAGAGUGUUAAUGAUAAUCGUCAGAUCAUAUUAAUAAGAAUAAAAUUAAUAAGUAUAGAAUUAACAUUUAUCUAUAGAAUUAUACAGUUAUUAUUAGUGCUCCAUCGCAGAGCAAUUCCAAUAUAAUCGAGUCC